This 539-nucleotide ribosomal RNA is filed under the name uncultured fungus. RNAcentral describes it as "eukaryotic LSU rRNA". The stretch from base 196 to 349 matches the Rfam family "5.8S ribosomal RNA". Lineage: Eukaryota; Fungi. The record is from RNAcentral.
AAGGAUCAUUACCGAGAUAGGGUUCCUUCGGGGCCCGACCUCCAACCCAUUGUCUACCAUACCUCUGUUGCCUCGGCGGGCCGCCGGCGCCUUUACGGGCGUCGCCGUCGGUCUUCACGGGCUUUCGAGUGCCCGCCGCAGGACUUAUAAACUCUUUUUAAAGCAGUAUUCUGAGUGGGAAUUUAAUAACUUCAAAACUUUCAACAACGGAUCUCUUGGUUCUGGCAUCGAUGAAGAACGCAGCGAAAUGCGAUACGUAAUGUGAAUUGCAGAAUUCAGUGAAUCAUCGAAUCUUUGAACGCACAUUGCGCUCCCUGGUAUUCCGGGGAGCAUGCCUGUUCGAGCGUCAUUAUCAACCAUCAAGCACUGCUUGGCAUUGGGCGUCGUCCCCCGUGGACGCGCCUUAAACCCUUUGGCGGCGGUUACAAACCUCAAGCGUAGUAGAAAUCCUUAGCUUUCUAGGUUGUGGCCGUCCUGCCUCGAGAACAUCUCACCUCAAGGUUGACCUCGGAUCAGGUAGGGAUACCCGCUGAACUUAA